This is a non-coding RNA of Lonchura striata (white-rumped munia), 650 nucleotides long. NCBI's taxonomy places the organism in Eukaryota, Metazoa, Chordata, Aves, Passeriformes, Estrildidae. The record is from RefSeq and is a predicted model, not a curated record.
AGCUCUGCAGAAAACACCGCCCUGGGCUGGGUCCCCUCCCUGCCUGUCGCUGCCCCGAGUCGCGGCUCCAGCCUGGAGGUGGGAUCCGACCGGGGACACCCCUCGGUAUCUCCCAGCCCCCUGCAGCUGGGAUUGACUCCUCAGCCCUCCCGCUGCUCUCGGAGCUGCUCUCUCUACCUUCAGCACCACUUUGAAGAGCAAAGGAAGGAUGGGAAGGAAGACAGGAGAAAAAAAAAAAGGAAAAAAAAUUGAAAGCCUCCAGCUUGAACCCUGCUGCUGCAGAAACAUCUGUAUCUAUAAAUAUCUGUGCUGGGAGUGGGAACAGGCUGUAUCUGUAUCUGCAGCAGCUCCCGAGGCGGCGGCAGCAGCCUCGCCCCAGCUAACCCCGCUCCGGCUCCGGCACACGCUCCCGAACACGCCCCGGGCUCCGCAGCCUGCCGCCAGGUUUUGGGAAUAAACCCCCAGACUGGUCUCCAAUAAAACAGGAAAUAAAGCAGGGCCGUGCUCGUGUUCCCAGCGAGUUCCCGGCGAGGGGGAGCAGCGGCCUGGGGUCACUGGGGCUCUGGGGGACAGGGGGGCUGUCCUUGCUGGGCCACCAUGUCCUGCUGCUGUCCCCACCCCGCUGUCACUCUGGCAGUGACCUCGUCCAC